This 440-nucleotide ribosomal RNA is filed under the name uncultured bacterium. Its description in RNAcentral is "partial 16S ribosomal RNA". It matches the Rfam family "Bacterial small subunit ribosomal RNA", at positions 338 to 795 of the family's 1533-position model. The record is from RNAcentral.
CCUACGGGUGGCAGCAGUGGGGAAUAUUGCUCAAUGGGCGAAACCCUGAUCCAGCGACGCCGCGUGAGCGAUGAAGUAUUUCUGUAUGUAAAGCUCUUUCAGUAGGGAAGCAAAUGACGCUACCUGACUCAUACUCCCCGGCUCACUACGUGCCAGCAGCCGCGGGUACACGGAGGCGGCAAGCGUUAUCCGGAUUUACCGGGGGUUAAGGGAGCGUAGACGGUAUGGCAAGUCAGAUGUGAAAUACCGGGGAUCAACCCCGGGACAGCAUUUGAAACUGUUAAGCUGGAGUGUCGGAGAGGCAGGCGGAAUGCGUGGUGUAGCGGUGAAAUGCGUAGAUAUUAGGCGGAACACCAGUGGCGAAGGCAGCCUGCUGGACGAUGACUGACGUUGAGGCUCGAAAGCGUGGGUAGCAAACAGGAUUAGAUACCCGUGUAGUC